AAAAAAUCGGGAGGAAACCACCCAGGGGGCCAAAAAGCCGGCCCUUUUUCCUGGGGUCCUGAAAACCGAACCCUNUGAGGGCCCCGAAAAGCCCCUGGGGGAACCCACAACCAGGGAUUAGAUACCCUGGUAGUCCCACCCGUUAACCGGAUGAGUGCCUAAGUUGUUAAGGGGUUUCCGCCCCCUUAAGUGCCUGCAGCCUAACGCAUUAAGCACUCCGCCCUGGGGAGUACGGCCGCAAAGGCUGAAACUCAAAGGAAUUGACGGGGACCCGCACAACGGUGGAGCAUGUGGUUUAAUUCGAAGCAACGCGAAGAACCUUACCAGGUCUUGACAUCCCACUGACCGGUGUAGAGAUACGCCUUUCCCUUCGGGGACAGUGGUGACAGGUGGUGCAUGGUUGUCGUCAGCUCGUGUCGUGAGAUGUUGGGUUAAGUCCCGCAACGAGCGCAACCCUUGAUCUUAGUUGCCAGCAUUCAGUUGGGCACUCUAAGGUGACUGCCGGUGAUAAACCGGAGGAAGGUGGGGAUGACGUCAAAUCAUCAUGCCCCUUAUGACCUGGGCUACACACGUGCUACAAUGGAUGAUACAGAGGGUUGCCAACCCGCGAGGGGGAGCCAAUCCCAUAAAAUCAUUCCCAGUUCGGAUUGGAGGCUGCAACUCGCCUCCACGAAGCCGGAAUCGCUAGUAAUCGUGGAUCAGCAUGCCACGGUGAAUACGUUCCCGGGUCUUGUACACACCGCCCGUCACACCACGAGAGUUUGUAACACCCGAAGUCGGUGGGGUAACCCUUACGGGAGCCAGCCGCCGAAGGUGGGACCGCUGAUUGGGGUGAAGUCGUAACAAGUAGCCGUAUCGGAAGGUGCGGCUGGAUA
This 875-nucleotide ribosomal RNA is filed under the name uncultured bacterium. RNAcentral describes it as "bacterial SSU rRNA". It matches the Rfam family "Bacterial small subunit ribosomal RNA", at positions 691 to 1523 of the family's 1533-position model. The record is from RNAcentral.